GAUGAACGCUGGCGGCGUGCCUAAUACAUGCAAGUCGAGCGAACGGACGAGAAGCUUGCUUCUCUGAUGUUAGCGGCGGACGGGUGAGUAACACGUGGAUAACCUACCUAUAAGACUGGGAUAACUUCGGGACACCGGCGCUAACACCGGAUGAUCUUUUGCACCGCAUGGUUGAAAAGUGAAUGUCGGUCUUGCUGGCACUUAUCGAUGGAUCCGGGCUGUAGUAGCUGGUUGGUAAGUUAACGGCUUACCAAGGCAACGAUGCAUAGCCGACCGGACAGAGUGGUAGGCCACAUUGGAGGGGGGACGCGGUCAUGGCGCCUAAGAGACGGAGCAGUAGGGAAUCGGCCGCAAAGGGGGAAAGCCUGACGGAGCAGGGGGGCGUGAGUGAUGGAGGUCUUCGGAGCGUAAAACUGUGUUAUUAGGGGAGAACAGAUGUGUAAGUAACUGAGCACAUCGUGACGGUAACGAAUAAGAAAGCCACGGCUAACUACGUG
Molecule: ribosomal RNA, 497 nt
Filed under: uncultured bacterium
Lineage: Bacteria
Description: partial 16S ribosomal RNA
Rfam family: Bacterial small subunit ribosomal RNA
Source: RNAcentral